AUCAGGACACUCUUUAAUACAUUCUUCCUUAAAGAAUUAUCACUAUCUCAAUUUUGUGGGUGGAGAAUUAAGGCACAAAAGCUGAAGCCAACCCAAGUGGUCAUGCUGCACAGGGAGGAAAGCUAAAUAGCUGGAGAGUUCCUCAGCAUGCCAAAAGGAAAGGCUCAGUACAGGGAUUGCAGUGGCACAAUUGUGGGUGGACAGGAGAGUUGGAGGGGCUCUGCUUCAAGAGGCAAUUAAAAUUAAGCCACUGAUUAAUGCCUCAAAUUGCCAGACCACUGUCGCUACCAGAUGUUAUCAAUCUUCAGGAAAGGACAAGACUGAGACACUGGAAAGAAGAUGUUCCAAGCUGCAGCCCAAAGUUUUCUGCUUUUUUGGUAGGGCUGCUGCCCUGUCCACCUUGCUGUUCUACAGGGAAACUACAGCAAACAGACAGGUAUAAAACAGCUGGCAAGCUGCAGUGACUGGAGUAUCACCCAUUUAUUACUUUCCCAUUCAACAGCAGAGUACCUUUUGUUCAGGAAGGCAGAUAAUCUCAGUGUGUAUGGAACUUACUGUAGUGUGCUUACUGCACUGCGUUUUUCCUCCUUAAUUCAGCAGACCUCUCCAAUAAAAAAACCUGCUGAUGGAGUGUGCUGCCUGUG
RNAcentral lists this long non-coding RNA (644 nucleotides) under Cyanistes caeruleus (blue tit). RNAcentral describes it as "lncRNA (ENSCCEG00000001389.1)". Lineage: Eukaryota; Metazoa; Chordata; Aves; Passeriformes; Paridae. The record is from RNAcentral.